GUUCGAUUAGAUUUGGACCCCAGGAAAGGAUCAAACCUCCCACCUUCCCUGUCAGCGUACGACCCUAGUUCCCACCUGAGUUGGUGACCCGAUCUUCCCUAAGGUGGCUCGUACACUGGCCAGCACCACGGAGAUGUAGGGAUAGGACGAUGGGAGUUGCUGGAUUUUUGGCAACACUGACAGCAGAAAACAAUGUUACUGGCAGCCCAUGACCAUCUGUCAGUGACAGUUGCGAAAAACGUGAAGACAAUCCCCAACAUCACCAUCAUGGAAAGAAUUUGCGGUUUGAAAUUGUCGUAUGCGAGACCGCUCAAAAGUCAGGAGGCACUUGAACAAUUCGGAACUCUUGGGGGUACCUGACGUAAGUUGACCUCCAGCCAGGAACGUCAAUAAGAAAUCAACAAAAUUAAUCACUGUGCUAGCUGUUGCGGCAAAUCCUGACAAACGAUUUCCGAUGGGAACCGAUCGGAAACUGUAUUAGAAGUGCUAUUAGGAGCAGCUGAAGGAACAUCUUGCAGAAAAUUUUCUCUGGAAUUGUAAUUCAUAUUUUCAUGUUGUGGAGGAAGGGUCUCACAAAAAUGUACAAUUGGACCAACCUUGUUGAACCCGAAUCAUUGUUCACCCGACGGUAUUAGCACUUGCAGGAUGGCCUGGCGGCAGUGUGCAGUCUACGGAGACAUCUGAAGCCCUGGAAAUCCGAUCCGAUAUCGUGCGAUAUUUGUCAUAUCAUUAUAAUGUAGAUCAGUGUGUCUUAUUGCAGUAAGUUUUUAAUUUUGAGAAUGGUUUGUAGAUCGAUUGCUGAUGCGAUCCCAAUAAACAAUGAAAUUGACA
Long non-coding RNA from Armigeres subalbatus, 831 nucleotides. RefSeq lists it as uncharacterized. The transcript has 3 exons. Lineage: Eukaryota; Metazoa; Arthropoda; Insecta; Diptera; Culicidae. The record is from RefSeq and is a predicted model, not a curated record.